UGUCACCCUGAGCUAAUGUCUUAAGGAAGAACAAUUAUUCUUAACAAAUGCUGGAUUCAUCUCCAAAGUUAGAGCAAGACCUUAAAUGGGAAUGUAAGAAAUAAUUCACUGACUGGGAGGAUCAUCAUCACUUCCAAGGUGACUACCUUGUGUUCAGGGAGUAGAGGGAAAUCCAGAAGCAGGAGGAGAUAUGGUCCUUUCCCACAGGGAGAGUCUAGUCCCGUGGACUGAGGUGGGAUGCCACUCAAGGCACAAGGACUAAGUUGAAGAAAGACAAGGACAGACCAGGAGGCACUUUACAGAGCUCCAGAGACUACCAGGCGGCUGAAGAGUCUGUCAUUGCCGAUGUCAUCACAUUUACAAGAUCAUUGGUCCCUUCUUCUGUAAGCCCCAAGAAUGAGCACCUCUCUGCACCUGCAGCCACGGCCCACCACUGCUCCGUGUGAAGAAGCAGAGCACUGAGGGAGGCUGAGGUGAGGGUCUCUCUGAUAUCCACUCACUCAC
RNAcentral lists this long non-coding RNA (504 nucleotides) under Equus caballus (horse). RNAcentral's name for it is "lncRNA (ENSECAG00000044501.1)". Lineage: Eukaryota; Metazoa; Chordata; Mammalia; Perissodactyla; Equidae. The record is from RNAcentral.